AGGACGAACGCUGGCGGCGUGCUUAACACAUGCAAGUCGAGCGGUAAGGCCUCUUCGGGGGUACACGAGCGGCGAACGGGUGAGUAACACGUGGGUGACCUGCCCUCAGCUCUGGGAUAAGCCUGGGAAACUGGGUCUAAUACUGGAUAUGACUGCGCAUCGCAUGGUGUGUGGUGGAAAGUUUUUUCGGCUGGGGAUGGGCCCGCGGCCUAUCAGCUUGUUGGUGGGGUGAUGGCCUACCAAGGCGACGACGGGUAGCC
RNAcentral lists this ribosomal RNA (260 nucleotides) under uncultured bacterium. RNAcentral's name for it is "partial small subunit ribosomal RNA". It matches the Rfam family "Bacterial small subunit ribosomal RNA", at positions 26 to 288 of the family's 1533-position model. The record is from RNAcentral.